RNAcentral lists this unclassified non-coding RNA (114 nucleotides) under Natrinema hispanicum. RNAcentral's name for it is "Haloterrigena hispanica HgcC family RNA". The record is from RNAcentral. Lineage: Archaea; Methanobacteriati; Methanobacteriota; Halobacteria; Halobacteriales; Natrialbaceae.
CACAGCAGAUGACGCUCGGAGAGGUCGGGUCGGAACCCACUGCCGGUAGUUAGCCGGUAUUCCCCUGCAGGGAAGCCGCGCCGUUCACGGCGCGGAGGAUGUCACUCGAAGUCC